Molecule: small nuclear RNA, 104 nt
Organism: Cebus imitator (Panamanian white-faced capuchin)
Lineage: Eukaryota; Metazoa; Chordata; Mammalia; Primates; Cebidae
Source: RefSeq, a predicted model, not a curated record
GUGCCCACUUCGGCAACAUAUAUACUAAAAUUGAAACAAUAUAAAGAUUAGCAUGACCCCUGGGCAAGGAUGACAUGCAAAUUCAUGAAGUGUUCCAUAUUUUU